Molecule: ribosomal RNA, 465 nt
Filed under: uncultured bacterium
Lineage: Bacteria
Description: bacterial SSU rRNA
Rfam family: Bacterial small subunit ribosomal RNA
Source: RNAcentral
CCUACGGGAGGCAGCAGUAGGGAAUCUUCCGCAAUGGACGAAAGUCUGACGGAGCAACGCCGCGUGAGCGAAGAAGGUCUUCGGAUCGUAAAGCUCUGUUGUUAGGGAAGAACAAGUACGGGAGGAAAUGACCGUACCUUGACGGUACCUUAGGAGGAAGCCCCGGCUAACUACGUGCCAGCAGCCGCGGUAAUACGUAGGGGGCGAGCGUUAUCCGGAAUCACUGGGUGCAAAGGGUGCGUAGGCGGUAGGGCAAGUCAGAUGUGAAAGCCCGGAGCUCAACUCCGGGAUUGCAUUUGAAACUGUCUUACUAGAGUGCAGGAGAGGAAGGCGGAAUUCCUAGUGUAGCGGUGAAAUGCGUAGAUAUUAGGAGGAACACCAGUGGCGAAGGCGACUCUCUGGACUGUAACUGACGCUGAGGCACGAAAGCGUGGGGAGCAAACAGGAUUAGAUACCCUUGUAGUC